RNAcentral lists this unclassified non-coding RNA (3232 nucleotides) under Hevea brasiliensis (rubber tree). Lineage: Eukaryota; Viridiplantae; Streptophyta; Magnoliopsida; Malpighiales; Euphorbiaceae. The record is from RNAcentral.
GUAAUAUGCAAGCCUUUUAAGCAUUUAUGCGUUCCUUUUCCUGCAGAGAAUUAAUACUUGCACAUAGCACUAAAUAUUGUUGUAGAAAAAAAUUGAAAUCAAUAGAUGAGAUAAAAACCAGGGAAAUUCUAGCGUCUAAUGUUGCUGAAUCUAAAAUUAUUAUGAUGAGUUCUUUACACUCCAUCGGUGGUAAAUUCAUUGUUACAGGAUAACAAUAUAAAUAUACCCCCGGUGGCAUUCAGGUAAUACCGUUGUUGAUGGAGGACAAUGUUUGGGUCGUAAAGCUUUGCCGCCAGAUCUCUUUCAACCAAACUUUCUUACAUAAAUCAGGCUCAUGCAACACAUGUCCAGUGCCAAGCAAAUGAGUCAGAAACUAUGAUUAGCUGAGCAAGUCAAAACACACACAAUACAUGCCAAACAUGCUGUGACAAUCACCAGCUUCACUUUAUCUUCAUUCCUUGCGCUGCCAUUCAUAUUCAAUGUUUUUAUCAGAAAAAACAUGUACCAUUUUGUCUUCAGUGUACGAAUCAAAGAACUAAAUUGAAAUUAUAUCCACUUAUAUUAUCUGCAGGAGUGCCUUUAUGUGAGCAUGAAAAGUAGUGAGAAUGCCUUCAUAUGUAUGAUAAGGAUAGAAACAACUACAAUAUGUGAAUCUCUUAUUUUCAGAACUGAUGGUAUUGCUUGGUGAUUUCGAAAGAGUAGAGAGUUCUAUGUGCCUUUAGCGAACAACUCCACAUGCAAGUAGAAACACUGGCUUCAACAUAAUCACAACCCAAAUCCACUGUUUUCUUCAAUUUACAACCUUCCUUAGUUCCUUUUUCAACCUUUGUUCUUCUAUUCAUGAUGUAGUUGAUAUUGUUCAAUUGGAGGAAAAAAAAAGGACUUUAGACUUUUUAGGCCUUAGCCAACUUUGUUCUCUGUUUUCUCAUUAUAAUCUGUUCCCUAGUGUGUUCCGCAACAACACAUGAUUCUUAGAACAUGAACUGCAGGCAAAUAGCAUGGAAUCAAAAAGGUAAUACCUUAACAAAACGAGGGGACCGGCGAACUGAUGCAGGGGACAGAAUCGAUAGUUUAUCCCCUCUUCCAAGAUUAACUUUCUUUGACUGUCCGUUUACUUGAUGUGGAUACUCAUUUUCCUUCAUGGGAGAGUCACUUCUGUCAGCUGAAACUGACAUAAAGGGAGCAGACACAGAUACUGUCGUAGACUCUUGAUGAAGACUUGAAGAUUGUAUUGAAGUUCCUACUGUGUGAAGAACAAUACAAUUUCUUUUAUAAAUACUGAAUUGCUUGUAAAAAAACACAGACAAGAGCCUAUUUGUCAAACGUCACUACAUAUCCAUGGUUGCCCAUAAAUUUGGCUAGAUUUAUGAAAAAUUAUGUGGAAAGGGUUCCCAAAAAAGGAACCACGUGAUAUAGGAUGCAGGUUAAAAUCUCUACCAAUCGAUGCAGCUUCUUGAAACUUCUCUCUCAUUGUUCUAACAAAUUUGAAUAAGCCAUUGGUUCUAUUCAACUCGUGGACCAACUCUUUAGUGUCAUUCAAGUGGGGAUUACAAGCCAACACUGAAAAUCAAGAGAAAAAAUGAAAAAUAGAUAUGACAAUAACAGAUUCAACAAUGAUAUAUAGUCAACAUGUAGGCAUAGCUUACAAGAAUAUGUAUCAUCUUCGUGGCAAAUGGUAAAAGUGUACUCCUCACACGGAUUGCUCAAGUUGAUGUAGUUGAAUGUGAAUUUCACCCCUAAUGAUACCAUAAACUUGUGGAUAGGAAAUUUCCAUGAAGGAAAAACCUAAUAAAUCUUUGAAAAUGAAAUAGCUAUGAUUACCUCUUCCACCUUCAAUUUGGAAACCAAGAACCUUAUUAUACCAUAAUAUCGCCUCUUGAAUUUCUCCUAUAUGUUCAAUGUCUCGGUUUCCCUUUUCUUCAUAUUUUGCCAAAACCAUAAAUGAUACCAAGAAAUGAAAAAGGAAGAAACAAAGAAUUAUAAGUAAUUUUAUUACUAUGUCACAAUUCAAAAGUUUAGGGCAUCAAAUCAAAUCCAAAUAUGAUUUUUGGAUACAAUUGACAAAGAAAGACACAUAAGAAAUGUUACAGCAUGUCAUGAGUUGAGAAAGCAAUUUCUUUUAAAAAAUUGUUUUCUAUGUUGUGGACAACUUUAGGAUGUUACGGCAUUCCAUGAUUCAAAAUCCACAAACAUCAACAGGAUUUCUUUCCUUGCCAAUCAUAUUCCUAUAAACUAUGAUGGUGUAAACAAUUCAUAGAUCAGAAACUAACCACUAGUUGGGUUGAAACACCCUAGAUAAGAUGGAUAAAAUGAGUGCCAAUAUCUGACAAGGAAACUAUAAAGUAUUCCACUGUACCAUGCCCAUGCUGAUAGAUGCCUGCAUGAGUUCCCCCAGUGCCAUAACAAGUCCAAACAAUUUGAUAACACAUUCCAAGAAAUCUCAACCUUUCAGAAUCUUUAGUAUCCAAACUCAACUAACAAUAGAAGCCCUCAUUCAUGGUCUAGAUCCACCAAACUUGAGUUCCCAUGAGAUAACCUAUGGUAACAAUUUUCUACUAUUGUUCAAUUUGGUUGAAAAACAACAAUCAAGGAUAAAAAAACUAUUCAAGUUUCUUGAAAAUAAGCAUAGCAAUAAGGUCUGUGUACAAACAAGUAAUGAUCAAGUGAUAUGAACAAAAGAUAUUACCAACAGAUUGUUGGGAAAUAAUUGCUGCAUAUUCAUCCCUCCUAGCCCUCUGAACUUGCAAAGUUCUUUCAAGUUCUUCUAUUCUAGCUCUCGUAGCAGAAAUGGAGUCCCUUAUAGCCAACUGUUUAGCCUCCUUACGAGUCUUCACCGCCAGCACUUUAAAAAAGUCAUCCUCAGCUUCCCGCAAGCUAGAUUUCAACUUGCCUAAUUUCCCUUGAUUUUGGAGGGUUUCAUCUAAUGUGGAAGUGGUCGAAUCCAGAAAAUGAUCAAACGUCGCCGCAAAGGAGUCGACUUUCUGCAGUGCAACGGGGAUCUCUCUGUCGCAGAUCAGUCGCAAAGACUCCAUUCUCAUCCGCAAAGAUUCCCCCUCUUUACUCUGGACUUGCAUGUAUGAAUUGCUUGCUGUGGGGCGCGUGUGUGUGAGAGAGAGACCGACAGGAGCAAAAACAAGUGAAGUGAGAAAGAGUUUGGAUUUGAAUGAAAGUCUAGUUUCCGCCCGCCAUUUUACUGGAGCUUUUAAACGGAGAUUUCACUUUUACAAUCAGC